AGCGGCGGACGGGUGAGUAACGCGUGGGUAACCUACCUCAUACAGGGGGAUAACAGUUGGAAACGGCUGCUAAUACCGCAUAAGCGCACAGUACCGCAUGGUACCGUGUGAAAAACUCCGGUGGUAUGAGAUGGACCCGCGUCUGAUCAGCUAGUUGGUGGGGUAACGGCCUACCAAGGCGACGAUCAGUAGCCGACCUGAGAGGGUGACCGGCCACAUUGGGACUGAGACACGGCCCAA
This 240-nucleotide ribosomal RNA is filed under the name uncultured bacterium. RNAcentral's name for it is "partial 16S ribosomal RNA". It matches the Rfam family "Bacterial small subunit ribosomal RNA", at positions 94 to 334 of the family's 1533-position model. The record is from RNAcentral.